This 441-nucleotide ribosomal RNA is filed under the name uncultured bacterium. Its description in RNAcentral is "partial 16S ribosomal RNA". It matches the Rfam family "Bacterial small subunit ribosomal RNA", at positions 338 to 795 of the family's 1533-position model. The record is from RNAcentral.
CCUACGGGAGGCAGCAGUCGGGAAUAUUGCGCAAUGGAGGAAACUCUGACGCAGUGACGCCGCGUAUAGGAAGAAGGUUUUCGGAUUGUAAACUUCUGUCGUUAGGGAAGAUAAUAGAUUGUACCUAAGGAGGACGCCUUGGCUAACCAUGGGCCAGCAGCCGCGGGAAUAUAUAGGGGGCAAGCGUCAUUCGGAAUUAUUGGGUGGAAAGGGUGCGUAGACGGAAGAACAAGUUGGUUGUGAAAGCCCUCGGCUCAACCGAGGAACUGCAACCAAAACUAUUCUCCUUGAGUGUCGGAGAGGAAAGUGGAAUUCCAAGUGUAGCGGUGAAAUGCGUAGAUAUUUGGAGGAACACCAGUGGCGAAGGCGACUUUCUGGUCUAUAACUGACGUUGAGGCGCGAAAGUGUGGGGAGCAAACAGGAUUAGAUACCCUUGUAGUC